RNAcentral lists this long non-coding RNA (1133 nucleotides) under Vulpes vulpes (red fox). Its description in RNAcentral is "lncRNA (ENSVVUG00000011578.1)". The record is from RNAcentral. Lineage: Eukaryota; Metazoa; Chordata; Mammalia; Carnivora; Canidae.
AAGAGGCUAAUGGGAAGUAACAUUCUUCCAAUGGGUGUCAUCAGUCAGUGAAUUCUAGGAGUUGGCAAGCAACAAUAAAAGUAGCUUAUGAAAGAGCAAGAAAUGAGUAGAAACACCCAAAAUUGGCCAGUAGAAUAUGCAAAUAUUCUCCACAGUUGCCUAUGAAAUUAAGAAAGGAGAAUGUGAAGGGAACAUGCAUAUCUGCAAUCCUGCAAGAGGAGUGAACUGGACUAACCACAGGCUGCUGUCUGUUUCAGUGCAUUCUGGUCCAUCUCUACUGCCGAUUAAUUGCCUAUGCUCAAAGACGGAGAAUUUUCAAGAAAGUUCCUAAGGAAGAGUACUACUUAAAGGUAUUCCUUAAUUUAUUCCUUCCUUCCCUCCCUGCUUCCUUCCUACUGUUCUUUCUUCCUUAGUUCUUUUAGGAAGAGGCUAGUCCAGAGUAUGCCUUUUUGUAUUAAGUGUUGGGUAUAAUUUUAAAAUUCCCCUGAGGGGAAGAUUUUUUUGUGCCAUUUAUUUACAUGAAAAAGAUUUCAGUGCAUGAUUUACAAAAUGCCCAAUUAAAACCUGAUCUAUCAUAAUUCAGAUGUUCAGCCUGAACAUCAGAAUUAGAAAUGUAUUAAGUAAUCUAUGUACUUGUCAUUUAAGACUAACUUAAAUUACUAAUAGCACUUUGAAUUGAGAGCUUUUUACAAUCCAACACUGAUUUAUUACACCCCAGACAUCACUACAAAGAACCAUAUAUUUUACCAAGUAAUAUAAACUCAACUUGAGGUCCUCAAAAUAUUACUGUUUAGUAAGUGUUAAUGUUUCUGAACACACACACAGAGACAAAAACGGGUGCUUGUUACUAGACUCAAUUUGUUAUGGUUUUUAAAUUUUGUAGUUCUUAAAAAUUUAACCAUAUGACUUUCAUCCCUAUCAGUUUAUUACAACUUUCCUAAGUAUUAUACUUUGCUUUUCUCCCUUCCUUCUUUUCUUCUUCCUUCUUUUCUUCUUCCUUCUUUUUUGAACCUUAGUCUACACAUUUUCCUUAAAUAAUUUUUUUUGACAACAGCACAUUAAAUAUUUAAAAAUAACAGAAAAAAACGUGGACCUAUGAAGAUAACACAAGUUGGUAUGGGCCUAAGAAGAAA